UACGGAGGGUGCAAGCGUUGUUCGGAAUUAUUGGGCGUAAAGGGCGCGUAGGCGGGUGUGUAAGUCAAUUGUGAAAUCCCCGGGCUCAACCUGGGAAUGGCGGUUGAUACUGCAUAUCUUGAGUGCUUGAGAGGGUGGUGGAAUUCCGGGUGUAGAGGUGAAAUUCGUAGAUAUCAGGAGGAACACCGGAGGCGAAGGCGGCCACCUGGCGAGACACUGACGCUGAGGCGCGAAAGCAUGGGGAGCAAACAGG
RNAcentral lists this ribosomal RNA (253 nucleotides) under uncultured bacterium. Its description in RNAcentral is "partial 16S ribosomal RNA". It matches the Rfam family "Bacterial small subunit ribosomal RNA", at positions 524 to 776 of the family's 1533-position model. The record is from RNAcentral.